AACGAACGCUGGCGGCGUGCUUAACACAUGCAAGUCGAACGGGAAUGUAGGGGCAACUCUACUAGUACCGUGGCGCACGGGUGAGUAAUACGUAGGUAAUCUACCUUCCAUUGGGGGAACAACCUCGGGAAACCGGGGCUAAUUCCGCGUACGUCCUGCUGUCGUAUUGGCGGCGGGGGAAAGGUGGCCUCUUCAUGAAAGCUAUCGAUGGAAGAUGAGCCUGCGCACCAUUUAGCUAGUUGGUAGGGUAAAAGCCUACCAAGGCAACGAUGGUUAGCUGAUCUGAGAGGACGGUCAGCCACACUGGCACUGAAACACGGGCCAGACUCCUACGGGAGGCAG
Molecule: ribosomal RNA, 342 nt
Filed under: uncultured Pseudomonadota bacterium
Lineage: Bacteria; Pseudomonadati; Pseudomonadota
Description: bacterial SSU rRNA
Rfam family: Bacterial small subunit ribosomal RNA
Source: RNAcentral